AUUGAACGCUGGCGGCAUGCCUUACACAUGCAAGUCGAACGGCAGCGGACCUUCGGGUGCCGGCGAGUGGCGAACGGAUGAGUAAUAUAUCGGAACGUACCUUUCAGUGGGGGAUAACGUAGCGAAAGUUACGCUAAUACCGCAUAUUCUGUGAGCAGGAAAGCAGGGGAUCGCAAGACCCUGCGCUGAUUGAGCGGCCGAUAUCAGAUUAGCUAGUUGGUGAGGUAAAGGCUCACCAAGGCGACGAUCUGUAGCGGGUCUGAGAGGAUGAUCCGCCACACUGGAACUGAGACACGGUCCAGACUCCUACGGGAGGCAGCAGUGGGGAAUUUUGGACAAUGGGCGCAAGCCUGAUCCAGCCAUGCCGCGUGAGUGAAGAAGGCCUCGG
RNAcentral lists this ribosomal RNA (388 nucleotides) under uncultured bacterium. Its description in RNAcentral is "bacterial SSU rRNA". It matches the Rfam family "Bacterial small subunit ribosomal RNA", at positions 30 to 420 of the family's 1533-position model. The record is from RNAcentral.